RNAcentral lists this ribosomal RNA (707 nucleotides) under uncultured marine alveolate. Its description in RNAcentral is "SSU rRNA". It matches the Rfam family "Eukaryotic small subunit ribosomal RNA", at positions 617 to 1328 of the family's 1831-position model. The record is from RNAcentral.
GGUAAAAAAGCUUCGUAGUUGGAUUCUCUGUUGAGAGCGACCGGUCCAUACCAUGUAUGCGUAUCUGGCUUGCUCUCGGCAUCCUCUCGAUAGACGUUGCUGCGCUUGAUUGCGUGGCGCGGAUCUCGGGACUUUUACUUUGAGGAAAUUAGAGUGUUCACGGCAGGCUUUCGCCAGAAUACAUUAGCAUGGAAUAAUACUAUAGGAUCUUGGUUCUAUUUUGUUGGUUUCUAGAAUUGAGAUAAUGAUUAAUAGGGACAAUUGGGGGCAUUCGUAUCAACACGUCAGAGGUGGAAUUCUUGGAUUGUGUUGCGACGAACUACUGCGAAAGCAUUUGCCAAGGAUGUUUUCAUUGAUCAAGAACGAAAGUAAGGGGAUCGAAGACGAUUAGAUACCGUCGUAGUCUUUACCAUAAACUAUGCCGACUAGAGAUGGGGCAUCGUUCAUUUACGACUUGCUCCGCACCUUAUGAGAUAUCAAAGUUUUUGGGUUCCGGGGGGAGUAUGGUCGCAAGACUGAAACUUAAAGGAAUUGACGGAAGGGCACCACCAGGAGUGGAGCCUGCGGCUUAAUUUGACUCAACACGGGGAAACUCACCAGGUCCAGACAUAAUAAGGAUUGACAGAUUGAUAGCUCUUUCUUGAUUUUAUGGGUGGUGGUGCAUGGCCGUUCUUAGUUCGUGGAGUGAUUUGUCUGCUUAAUUGCGU